This 424-nucleotide ribosomal RNA is filed under the name Adenomera andreae group sp. ABGD cluster 3. RNAcentral describes it as "partial large subunit ribosomal RNA". It matches the Rfam family "Bacterial large subunit ribosomal RNA", at positions 1835 to 2457 of the family's 2925-position model. Lineage: Eukaryota; Metazoa; Chordata; Amphibia; Anura; Leptodactylidae. The record is from RNAcentral.
UUUGCUUAAAAUAAAAGGUCCAGCCUGCCCAGUGACACUGUUCAACGGCCGCGGUAUCCUAACCGUGCGAAGGUAGCGUAAUCACUUGUUCUUUAAAUGAGGACUAGUAUGAAAGGCACCACGAGAGUCAUACUGUCUCCUCUUUCCAAUCAGUUAAACUAAUCUCCCCGUGAAGAAGCGGGGAUAACUUUAUAAGACGAGAAGACCCUAUGGAGCUUUAAACGAAUAACACUUGCCCCCCCCCCUUUUUUUAAUUUCAGAAAAAUCUAUUACCUUGGCAUCAUACUUAUAAGUUUUUGAUUGGGGUGAUCACGGAACAAAAAAUAACCUCCGCAAUGAAAGACUCUCCACAACUAAGUCAAGAACCACAACUCUACACAUCAACAAAUUGACACCAAUUGACCCAAUUUAUUGAUCAAUGAAC